Molecule: long non-coding RNA, 224 nt
Organism: Aricia agestis (brown argus)
Lineage: Eukaryota; Metazoa; Arthropoda; Insecta; Lepidoptera; Lycaenidae
Exons: 3
Source: RefSeq, a predicted model, not a curated record
GGGAGUCGAGCAGGUUGCUGUUAUCGCCACUGCUUGUAAAGUCGUACGAGCCGGUCGCCGAAGCGCCAGCAAACAGACAUUGUGAGGUGUCUCCAGAAAUGAUCACCGCGGCGUUGAAAACCCUCGCCAUGUGGAGAGCCGAAGUCACCACCGACAUGAUACUCAACUAUAUUAUGGCCAACUAUCCAGUGUGCCCAGACAAGACGACUCUCCUACAGGAUUUG